This 350-nucleotide unclassified non-coding RNA is filed under the name fungal sp. Its description in RNAcentral is "partial internal transcribed spacer region". The stretch from base 1 to 46 matches the Rfam family "Eukaryotic small subunit ribosomal RNA", at positions 1786 to 1831 of the family's 1831-position model. Lineage: Eukaryota; Fungi. The record is from RNAcentral.
AAGUCGUAACAAGGUUUCCGUAGGUGAACCUGCGGAAGGAUCAUCAUUGUAUUCAAAUCUUUACACACCCUUGUGAACUGUGUGGCUGCCUGUCCUGCGUCUUUUAGGCGCUAGGCAUGCAUCUGCGCCCAUUAAUUUGGUGGACGUGUUGGCGCGAUUAGUGUAUAACAGCGCGUGUAAAUGUGUGUGCAUGACUAGUUUUGUUGUGUGCGCGCACACGCUAGCGUUGUUUUGCUGCGCGCCACCGUCCGCUGUGAAAACAAACAAACACACUAUAUAUACAAUCUUUAAGCUGAAAUAAUUUAUAUGUAAUUAAAAUACAACUUUCAACAAUGGAUCUCUUGGCUCUC